Elgaria multicarinata webbii is the source of this 262-nucleotide long non-coding RNA. RefSeq lists it as uncharacterized. The transcript is spliced from 3 exons. The record is from RefSeq and is a predicted model, not a curated record. NCBI's taxonomy places the organism in Eukaryota, Metazoa, Chordata, Lepidosauria, Squamata, Anguidae.
UAGUGUGGUUGCACUACAGACAUUAGUCGUGAUGUGCUUAGUCUAGAAUUUUGAUGUGAAGAACUCCAGAGGACAGUCCACUAUUUGAAGAGCUGCCCAGUCCAAGCCUGGUUGAAAGACAGAGAGCCAUCAGCAGGGAGAACUGUAUGGGCCUUGAAGUUGCCCAUCAAAAGCUGGCUAAGCAGGCACACGAGUCAUCCAGCCACCAUCUUCCCCACAGUGGAAGGUGUGACCCCUGGCAAGUCAUGAAGAAAACUGCAGG